UUCCUCGCNUAGUCUCUCCACCCGCGUUCUUAUUCUUGACAAUGUUAGCUUGUUCUCUCUACUCGGCGUUUCUCUCGCUCGCCGUGGUCUCGCUAGUUUUUUCCCAUCUCUUAUGACCCUGUCACGUUCUCUUUCUCAUCACGCUUCUUCGAAUCUCCCCUAAACGUAGGUGGCGCCCGCCCCUGUUCUUGUCUAUAGCGAGCUUUCUACGUGUGCAUUCGUCCAUAAAUGUAUGUGGACGCUGUUUGUGAUCAGUGGGAGUUUUCCUAGCUCGUCUGCGCUCUUCUCUGCGUGGAUUCUUGGUGCCUUGUACGCUACACGAGAGGUAGAUUUUUGCUCUCGAUAGCCGACUAUUCUGUUCGUUGAUCCCGCUCUCGCUAAUCCCUCCCGUUCGCGCGAGCGCUAAUUAACGGCAUAGCCCGCUAUCUAUUCAUUUUAAUCCCUUCUCCAUUGGAGGCGGAUUUGUAUUUCUCGCGUCCUGCGAUGUCCCUUCUCCAACAGGAUUACGCUCUGGGUAGCCCCUCUGCCUGCACUUUUUGAUACCGCUGCUUUUAUGUGUGCUUUGCAGGUCUCGUCGGGCUGAGGUGCGUAUUCCCUCGUGUAUCCCUCUGACUCCUGAGAUUCUCCUCUCGUCCGCUUCUAUUUACUUCGCACGACCCGAGGGAAAAGGUCUCCCUCCUCCCGAAGGAGCCCCGCAGUGAUAGGCCGUCUGGGGGUUCUCGGCCUUCCAGGCGUCAUUCCCAAUCUNAUCUGAAUGNANGAUCANCCACACUGNNNAUGAGACACGGCCCAGACUCCUACGGGAGGCAGCANUGGGGAAUAUUGGACAAUGGGGGAAACCCUGAUCCAGCAAUGCCGCGUGCGUGAAGAAGGCCUUAGGGUUGUAAAGCGCUUUCACCCGCGAAGAUGAUGACGGUAGCGGGAGAAGAAGCCCCGGCUAACUCCGUGCCAGCAGCCGCGGUAC
RNAcentral lists this ribosomal RNA (964 nucleotides) under uncultured Alphaproteobacteria bacterium. Its description in RNAcentral is "bacterial SSU rRNA". The stretch from base 475 to 964 matches the Rfam family "Bacterial small subunit ribosomal RNA", at positions 1 to 523 of the family's 1533-position model. The record is from RNAcentral. Lineage: Bacteria; Pseudomonadati; Pseudomonadota; Alphaproteobacteria.